UAUCUCUCUCUCUCCCUCUCUCUCUCUCCUUCGCGUACGCCUCGAGCUAUCUCUUUCUUCUCUCGCGCUACCAUAUCUCUAUUUCAUGCUAUCUUUCUUCUUACGCGCCGUCUCCUUUCUUGGCAUGCAUCCCGAGCUAUCUCUUUCUUCUCUCGCGCCGUCUGUCUUCUUUGCGUGCACCUCGAACUAUUUCUUAUGACAUACGGAAGGGAAUUUCGACGGCGCCAACGUUCGGCUGCUUGAAUUUGUAAACAGGUAGAGCCCGAUUUUAUCACUAUGAUAGUCCAUUGUGGAGAUUUUUUGAGUUGAAACUUAUGGAGAGCGGGUCCACGAUGUCAUAAGGUUUACGAUAUCUGUGGAGUGAUGAAGUGCCAAAAAGAUGACUGGAGGAUAUCUGCGCUGUAUGCUCUCCAAAAUAACGAUCGCCACAAUCGUGCAAAAUGAGGAGCCGGAAACUCUACUGAUUUUUUCAGAGUGAGCACAGGCUCACAAAGCGAGAGAAGGUGCGGAUUGUGAGGGCGGAACAGCGUCGAUUUCUAAACGUCCUGUGGGGUGACACGGACGAAUUAUGAGAAUGGGAGAUAUACAACCCGUGGAUAUAGUUUGAUCCAUUCGAUCUAACCUAUUUGUUUAAAACAACUGAUAAUAACCCGUAUCCACCUGAACCUGAGGUGGAAAAUUGGAACGAAAAAUUGUCGGACGUGUCAAUAACGCGAUAUCCACCACCGCCGCCGCCGCCGCCGUCACCGCCGCAAUCGCCGUCCCCGCAAUCAUCUCUUUUAUAAAAAAUAAGUUUUUUUUAUUU
Molecule: non-coding RNA, 805 nt
Organism: Nylanderia fulva
Lineage: Eukaryota; Metazoa; Arthropoda; Insecta; Hymenoptera; Formicidae
Source: RefSeq, a predicted model, not a curated record